ACAUGGCGGAAAACCAACCAAACACAUAUACAAGGCUACAUUCAAGCUAUAUACCUCCGGACGAGGAUGGAAAUGUGGAGAUUAUAAUAACAGUGGAAAUGACUGACGGUAACUCAUUUCGGAUAAACGAUGAAGCUGAAUGUCGCGUAGACGUUACAGCAAAGGAGGGAUAUGUUACAGAAGUCCUGAUACAUAAAUUAGAUAAGAAAGGGACAAUUGUCCACAGCUAUCAGUGCAAAGAAAUUUACUCACCUUACGAUACUCAGGAGAUCAAG
Molecule: long non-coding RNA, 275 nt
Organism: Ylistrum balloti
Lineage: Eukaryota; Metazoa; Mollusca; Bivalvia; Pectinida; Pectinidae
Exons: 3
Source: RefSeq, a predicted model, not a curated record